Long non-coding RNA from Eriocheir sinensis (Chinese mitten crab), 1332 nucleotides. RefSeq lists it as uncharacterized. The record is from RefSeq and is a predicted model, not a curated record. NCBI's taxonomy places the organism in Eukaryota, Metazoa, Arthropoda, Malacostraca, Decapoda, Varunidae. The transcript has 3 exons.
GGUUAGGGUGGAGGAGUGAGUUGGGGGAAGGAGGAGGAGGUGGAGGAGUAGGAAGAGGAAGAGUUAAGAAGAAAUGUUAGGAACGGAAGGGAAGGGAGAGAGAAGGAAGGAAGGAGAGGGAGAGAGAAGGAAAGAAGGAAGGAAGGAGAGGGGGAAAGAAGGAAGGAAGGGAAAAUAUAUGAAGGAGAAAGAGGGAAGGAAGGAAGGAAGAGAAAGAGAAAGGAAGGAGGGAAAGAUGAAGGAAGGAAGGAAGGAAGAGAGAGAGAAAGGAAAGAGGGAAGGAAGGAAGGAAGGAAGGAAAAACACAUGAUUGAUUGCAUGUAUGAAAUUCCUCCUCAAGAUCCACAAAUUUUACAUCAUAACAAUACAAUCAAUGCUGUUUUAAGUAUACAUAGAAUCUCCUUCUCAUCAUAGCUACAGAAUCAAUGCUCUCAAGUGCAGUGAAAUGCUGGCAAGUCUCGUCAAAUGCCGGUUUUAAGUGGGUUAAAAUUCGAUACCUUUCCAGCUAGGUUGAACCCCCCCCCCUCCCCCCUCUGGCUCCUGGUCCAAAGCUGUCAAAGUAUUUUCAUCUCUGUUCUGUGGUGCUAAUGUUUCCUGCUGUCAAAUGCUGUCAAAUGCUGUUAUAUGGUUGUCACUGAUGUCCAUUCCUUUCAUACACGGUUAAAUGCCCUUGUGUGCUUUUCCUUGGUGUUAGAUCCUCCUCUCUCUCCCACACACUGCUCUCCAUUCCUUGUAUAGACCAUUCGAUGCUGUUGUGUGCUGUUCCUUGGUGUUUAAUCCUCCUCUCUCUCCCACACACUGCUCUCCAUUCCUUGUAUAGACCAUUCGAUGCUGUUGUGUGCUGUUCCAUGGUGUUCAAUCCUCCUCUCUCUCCCACACACUGCUCUCCAUUCCUUGUAUAGACCAUUCGAUGCUGUUGUGUGCUGUUACAAGGUGUGCAAUCCUCCUCUCUCUCCCACACACUGCUCUCCAUUCCUUGUAUAGACCAUUCGAUGCUGUUGUGUGCUGUUCCAAGGUGUUAGAUCCUCCUCUCUCUCCCACACACUGCUCUCCAUUCCUUGUAUAGACCAUUCGAUGCUGUUGUGUGCUGUUCCUUGGUGUUCAAUCCUCCUCUCUCUCCCACACACUGCUCUCCAUUCCUUGUAUAGACCAUUCGAUGCUGUUGUGUGCUGUUCCAAGGUGUUCGAUCCUCCUCUCUCUCCCACACACUGCUCUCCAUUCCUUGUAUAGACCAUUCGAUGCUGUUGUGUGCUGUUCCUUGGUGUUUAAUCCUCCUCUCUCUCCCACACACUGCUCUCCAUUCCUUGUAUAGACCAUUCGAUGCUGUUGUGU